Molecule: ribosomal RNA, 417 nt
Filed under: uncultured marine phototrophic eukaryote
Lineage: Eukaryota
Description: bacterial SSU rRNA
Rfam family: Bacterial small subunit ribosomal RNA
Source: RNAcentral
UUCCGCAAUGGGCGAAAGCCUGACGGAGCAAUACCGCGUGAGGGAUGACGGCCUAUGGGUUGUAAACCUCUUUUUUCAGGGAGGAAUCAAUGACGUGUACCUGAAGAAUAAGCAUCGGCUAACUCCGUGCCAGCAGCCGCGGUAAGACGGAGGAUGCAAGUGUUAUCCGGAAUCACUGGGCGUAAAGCGUCUGUAGGUGGUUUAAUAAGUCAACUGUUAAAUCUUGAGGCUCAACCUCAAAAUCGCAGUCGAAACUAUUAGACUAGAGUAUAGUAGGGGUAAAGGGAAUUUCCAGUGGAGCGGUGAAAUGCGUAGAUAUUGGAAGGAACACCGAUGGCGAAGGCACUUUACUGGGCUAUUACUAACACUCAGAGACGAAAGCUAGGGUAGCAAAUGGGAUUAGAUACCCCAGUAGUC